GACGAACGCUGGCGGCGUGCUUAACACAUGCAAGUCGAACGGUGAAGGGACCAGCUUGCUGGUUCUGGAUGAGUGGCGAACGGGUGAGUAACACGUGCGUAACCUGCCCCCUUCUUCUGGAUAACCGCAUGAAAGUGUGGCUAAUACGGGAUAUUCUGGGUCUGUCGCAUGGCCGGCCCGGGAACGAUCUUGCUUCGGUUGGGGAUGGGCUCGCGGCCUAUCAGCGUGUUGGUGGGGUGAUGGCCUCCCAAGGCGGUGACGGGUGGCCGGCCGGAGAGGGUGGACGGUCAGACCUGGACUGAGACACGGCCCAGUAUCGGACGGGAGGGAGCAGUAGGGAAGAUUACACACUGGGCGCAAGCCUGAUGCAGCGACGCGGGGGGAGGGAUGGAGGGCUUCGGGUUGUAAACCUCUUUCGCCAGAGAAGCAGGCCUGCUCCUUGUGGGUGGGUUGACGGUAGCUGGAUAAGAAGCGCCGGCUAACUACGUG
This 489-nucleotide ribosomal RNA is filed under the name uncultured bacterium. RNAcentral's name for it is "partial 16S ribosomal RNA". It matches the Rfam family "Bacterial small subunit ribosomal RNA", at positions 28 to 507 of the family's 1533-position model. The record is from RNAcentral.